AUAGCUCAUUAACAAACAUUACUGAUCAGUAGUGUACAUUUGGAUACAAAUAUGGUGGGUGUAAAAUAUUAAAGUGUUAAGCAAAAUCACCACUUUAUGUGUGUGUCUUGUUGUUGCCUUUGUGAUUUAUAGCAUUUAGGUUAGACACUAAUGGUGCCUCAGAGAUGACGAUCUUUAAGUAAAGUCACUGAAAUUCACAUGCCACACUCUUGUAUCUCUUACCACACAGUACACCAGUGGCUCUCAAUUCCAGUCCAAGGCCCCACCACCACAAUCAAUGCUCAAACUUGCACAAACAAUGCACUACUCAAGUUUCGUCAUUGCAGAGAGUAGAGUAAUUGUCAUUCAUUCCAUGUGCAGUGAUGUUGUUAAAACGUCACCAUCAUUAAUUAUGUGACCAAUGAGCUGCCGCCCAGUUAGGGUAUAUAAGUUGGUUGGUUCUGCCUUUUGGAGUGUGUCAUGGUCGAAUGCCUGCCCCUUCCUUUCUGUUAUGGACUACUAAGUGUGGUGUUGGGCUGCUGAGAUGUACUAUUUGCGAUAUGCUGUUUGCUCUCAGUGUGGUGUGCCUUCAUGGCUCCCAAUGAUUGUGGCUCCACAGUAUAACGUAGCCCAGGUCGCAGCUCCAGCUGUUGUCGCUUUAGCCUUUAAAGAAGAGUCUUUAAAGAGGUUGUCAUGAUCCUUGGAUCUGUUGUCAUGAGCAUUUCACCAUCGUAUUAUCGGGUUGAGCGGGAGCAAUAACACAGCUUGUUUCCCAUUCUUCAUUGGUUUAGCCACGCUGCUGCUUUUGGAGUUUAAUUAUGUCCAUGUCUAGCAUCCAAGUGGACUUGUUUGUUUUUUGUUUUGAGUGAUUGUAAUUUGUUUUCUUUUACUUUAUGAACUCUUUCUAAAAAGUUGAUUUGUAUUCCUUUUUGUUUCUGUUAUUCAGUUAAUUUGUGGUUUAUUAUCUAAUGUGAUCUGUUUUCUUUUG
Molecule: long non-coding RNA, 967 nt
Organism: Cyprinus carpio (common carp)
Lineage: Eukaryota; Metazoa; Chordata; Actinopteri; Cypriniformes; Cyprinidae
Source: RefSeq, a predicted model, not a curated record